UUCCAUUACCCCUCUCCCUCUCAGCCGCCAGUCCGCCACCAGCUAGGGUUUCCUUUGUUCCUACCUCGAGCUCCGCUCUAGUGAAAUCCCUAUAUCUCGUCCAUCUCCGGCGAGGACAAUGCCCCCAAAGACGUCUCUACUCUGAAUCCCAAACUAUCUAUUCCUGCACCACUACGUCGAGCUGCAUCUGCGCGCACAGACCAGCAUUUGCGCGCGUUAUCCCACGCAUCCCGGCGAGCCGUAGCAGCAGGGCCUUGACGGCCAUGAGCGAGGGCGAUACAACCGCAAUGCCCUACUCUACCUUCUGUAUGCCCUACCCCUCGUUUGUUCUCCUGUUCUUACUUAUAAUCUAAACGUAGAUGUAGAUAUAGAAGUGCAUUUCAGUUGGCUUUACGCCUCCCUGGAUUGCAGAUCGUCGUUCAACUUGGCGGUGUCACCAUGUUCAAUCUCCUCAGAUAUACACAAAUAGUAGUUCUUAUGUACGUACUCAUCUAGCUUGUUUCUCCGUUUCAGGGAUUUGCCUGGUGAGGAAAAACCAUCUUCCUAUAUGUAUGACGCUUCGCAACCCGAGGAGUAUGAAAAAAAAAACUUUUGCCUCUUUCGUUUUCUGUUUCUCCAUCUAGUUGAAAUCCCAUGUGUUUAUAUCUAACAUAGCAUACAAUCGUUCUUCUACUCAUUGACCGAGCCUACUCACUCAAGGGUUCCAAUGUCUUAUGACACAAACCAUGUUCUGGCCUUGAGAGAUCCUGGUCUGCCUACACCAGUUUAUGUUAGAAUGGAUAGUUCAGAAGUAUUUUACACAUAUCCUACUCUGGUGAUAAGCCGUUCCAGAGCCUUGAUGAAGUUUCCAGUGCUGUUGUUUCCUCUGCUUGUCCCAAUAGCAAUGCCAUGUAAUGUUCCGAUCUCUCUCAAAAGAAAAUCGUUUACCUUCUCUGAAGAACGAACAUCUAUUAAUCAUAUGCUCUGAUCUAAAAUUAGGUCUGAUGAGAUACUUUCAAACAUCGAACGUAUUAUACAUGAACAUCUUUUCUGGCCAGAUGGAACGAGGAAGGUCUGCACAAGGGCUCAAGUAGCCAAGAGGGAACAUGACAAUGUUCGGAGACUGGUUGAAGCUUUACUGGACAAGCAUAACGACACCGAGG
This 1142-nucleotide long non-coding RNA is filed under the name Hordeum vulgare. RNAcentral describes it as "long non-coding RNA (HVUL_LNC013368)". Lineage: Eukaryota; Viridiplantae; Streptophyta; Magnoliopsida; Poales; Poaceae. The record is from RNAcentral.